UGGGGAAUAUUGGACAAUGGGCGCAAGCCUGAUCCAGCCAUGCCGCGUGAGUGACGAAGGCCUUAGGGUUGUAAAGCUCUUUUGGCGGGGAAGAUAAUGACGGUACCCGCAGAAUAAGCUCCGGCUAACUUCGUGCCAGCAGCCGCGGUAAUACGAAGGGAGCUAGCGUUGUUCGGAAUCACUGGGCGUAAAGCGCACGUAGGUGGGCAGUUAAGUCAGGGGUGAAAGCCCGAGGCUCAACCUCGGAAUUGCCUCUGAUACUGGCUGUCUAGAGUUCGAGAGAGGUGAGUGGAAUUCCUAGUGUAGAGGUGAAAUUCGUAGAUAUUCGCAGGAACACCAGUGGCGAAGGCGACUUGCUGGACUUAUGGUGACGCUGAGACGCGAAAGCGUGGGGAGCAAACAGGAUUAGAUACCCUUGUAGUCCCUGAGCGGGCUGGCAAGGCGCAU
This 447-nucleotide ribosomal RNA is filed under the name uncultured bacterium. RNAcentral describes it as "bacterial SSU rRNA". It matches the Rfam family "Bacterial small subunit ribosomal RNA", at positions 355 to 825 of the family's 1533-position model. The record is from RNAcentral.